Molecule: ribosomal RNA, 497 nt
Filed under: uncultured bacterium
Lineage: Bacteria
Description: partial 16S ribosomal RNA
Rfam family: Bacterial small subunit ribosomal RNA
Source: RNAcentral
GACGAACGCUGGCGGCGUGCCUAAUACAUGCAAGUUGAGCGCUGAAGGUUGGUACUUGUACCAACUGGAUGAGCAGCGAACGGGUGAGUAACGCGUGGGGAAUCUGCCUUUGAGCGGGGGACAACAUUUGGAAACGAAUGCUAAUACCGCAUAAAAACUUUAAACACAAGUUUUAAGUUUGAAAGAUGCAAUUGCAUCACUCAAAGAUGAUCCCGCGUUGUAUUAGCUAGUUGGUGAGGUAAAGGCUCACCAAGGCGAUGAUACAUAGCCGACCUGAGAGGGUGAUCGGCCACAUUGGGACUGAGACACGGCCCAAACUCCUACGGGAGGCAGCAGUAGGGAAUCUUCGGCAAUGGACGAAAGUCUGACCGAGCAACGCCGCGGGAGUGAAGAAGGGUGUCGGAUCGUAAAACUCGGUUGGUAGAGAAGAACGUUGGUGAGAGUGGAAAGCUCAUCAAGUGACGGUAACUACCCAGAAAGGGACGGCUAACUACGUG